GGAUAAGCCUGGGAAACUGGGUCUUAUACCGGAUAGGAGCGUCCACCGCAUGGUGGGUGUUGGAAAGAUUUAUCGGUUUUGGAUGGACUCGCGGCCUAUCAGCUUGUUGGUGAGGUAAUGGCUCACCAAGGCGACGACGGGUAGCCGGCCUGAGAGGGUGACCGGCCACACUGGGACUGAGACACGGCCCAGACUCCUACGGGAGGCAGCAGUGGGGAAUAUUGCACAAUGGGCGAAAGCCUGAUGCAGCGACGCCGCGUGAGGGAUGACGGCCUUCGGGUUGUAAACCUCUUUCAGUAGGGAAGAAGCGAAAGUGACGGUACCUGCAGAAGAAGCACCGGCUAACUACGUGCCAGCAGCCGCGGUAAUACGUAGGGUGCGAGCGUUAUCCGGAAUUAUUGGGCGUAAAGAGCUCGUAGGCGGUUUGUCGCGUCUGUCGUGAAAGUCCGGGGCUUAACCCCGGAUCUGCGGUGGGUACGGGCAGACUAGAGUGCAGUAGGGGAGACUGGAAUUUCUGGUGUAGCGGUGGAAUGCGCAGAUAUCAGGAGGAACACCGAUGGCGAAGGCAGGUCUCUGGGCUGUAACUGACGCUGAGGAGCGAAAGCAUGGGGAGCGAACAGGAUUAGAUACCCUGGUAGUCCAUGCCGUAAACGUUGGGCACUAGGUGUGGGGACCAUUCCACGGUUUCCGCGCCGCAGCUAACGCAUUAAGUGCCCCGCCUGGGGAGUACGGCCGCAAGGCUAAAACUCAAAGGAAUUGACGGGGGCCCGCACAAGCGGCGGAGCAUGCGGAUUAAUUCGAUGCAACGCGAAGAACCUUACCAAGGCUUGACAUGUUCCCGAUCGCCGUAGAGAUACGAUUUCCCCUUUGGGGCGGGUUCACAGGUGGUGCAUGGUUGUCGUCAGCUCGUGUCGUGAGAUGUUGGGUUAAGUCCCGCAACGAGCGCAACCCUCGUUCCAUGUUGCCAGCACGUAAUGGUGGGGACUCAUGGGAGACUGCCGGGGUCAACUCGGAGGAAGGUGAGGACGACGUCAAAUCAUCAUGCCCCUUAUGUCUUGGGCUUCACGCAUGCUACAAUGGCCGGUACAAUGGGUUGCGAUACUGUGAGGUGGAGCUAAUCCCAAAAAGCCGGUCUCAGUUCGGAUUGGGGUCUGCAACUCGCCCCCAUGAAGUCGGAGUCGCUAGUAAUCGCAGAUCAGCAACGCUGCGGUGAAUACGUUCCCGGGCCUUGUAC
This 1234-nucleotide ribosomal RNA is filed under the name Micrococcus luteus. RNAcentral's name for it is "bacterial SSU rRNA". It matches the Rfam family "Bacterial small subunit ribosomal RNA", at positions 141 to 1386 of the family's 1533-position model. The record is from RNAcentral. Lineage: Bacteria; Bacillati; Actinomycetota; Actinomycetes; Micrococcales; Micrococcaceae.